GGCCUCGAAGUGUAUCAGAUUGCACACGACCGUCCGAAGGUCGAGGACCGGGUGCGACUCCCGGCGGGGCUGCCA
Molecule: transfer RNA, 75 nt
Filed under: Nannocystis exedens
Lineage: Bacteria; Pseudomonadati; Myxococcota; Nannocystales; Nannocystaceae
Description: tRNA_Pseudo_CCG
Source: RNAcentral